Molecule: long non-coding RNA, 553 nt
Organism: Microtus oregoni (creeping vole)
Lineage: Eukaryota; Metazoa; Chordata; Mammalia; Rodentia; Cricetidae
Exons: 3
Source: RefSeq, a predicted model, not a curated record
GGGGUUACCAUGUGUGAUGAAGGGACAAGGAAGGGAGGCUUCUCAGAGGAGGUGGGCCUGGAAGAGAAUGGAGGAUCUGGAUAAGAGAAGCCUGGUCCAAGCCGCCAUCAUCUCUCACUGGACGCCCGCCACAGCUUCCUGAUGGUUCCCUCUCCAGAGUUCCAACUCAGCUUCAUGAAGCAGCCAUGGAGACCAUCCGUUCGCAAUCAAGAAUCCUUUGUGCAGCCCUUUGGAAGCCAUCUCCCCUCUGCUUCAGCCUUCAAGUUCCCAGCAUCCCCCAGGGUCAUCGGGCUUUACCUGGCUUGCUUCAUCUCUUCCCACUAUUGCUCACAGGGCAGACUUCACUCAGCUUUGAAGGACAUGACCGGACCCAGCAAGGAACCCUCAGCUACUUAAAUCAUAAACAAGUUCUUACAGGGGGACACCCAUCCACAAUGGUCUGGCACUGGGCGUGGAGGUGGGAGUGAGGAGCAGAAGAGACUGCCAUGCCUGGCUCCUGGAGAAACACCUGAGUAUGAGAGAUGGCCUUUGGAUGUACUCAACAGCAGAAAAG